This 1804-nucleotide long non-coding RNA is filed under the name Amphimedon queenslandica. Its description in RNAcentral is "uncharacterized LOC109588876". The record is from RNAcentral. Lineage: Eukaryota; Metazoa; Porifera; Demospongiae; Haplosclerida; Niphatidae.
CAGCUGCUGCAAGUGUGUGGAUUUCUAGGUAGUCACGUUCAGGAUACUUCGGUAUAUUAUCAAUGAUAAAUGUUGUUAUAACAACACUAUACUAGUACACGGGAAUGAACGGAGUAUCGAGACCGCGCCUUGGUUAACGCCUAUUAAUUCAGUAGGCGUUUCAAAGGAGUGGUCUCAAAAAAUGAGCUUAUUUACCGAAGUAGAGAGUAUAUUGACACAAGUAAGAAGCGAAAUAAUUCAUGGAAUUGGACAGAACAGGGAUUUUUACAUUACAAGGUUGGAAAGCUUGAUCAGUGUCAAACGGAAGAUGCCACUGAGCACUAGUCUCGCGUAGCCAGACCACACCCUCCGUGCCUCCGGGACGGAGGGUGUGGUCUGGUUACGCGAGACUAACUGAGCACGGUGACGACCCAGAUUCAUCAACAAGUGAAACACUUGCUCAUUUACACUAUCGGAUUUGCCAUUUCCUUUCCCAACUGACUUGUAAUACUACCUGUUCCACAGUUAUUUCUAUUUCAAGGCCUACUAUUUAUUCAUCAAAUGGUGGACCUGGACAACCUAGAGUAUUCAUCAACAUUGAAAUGGUGGAAUUUUUAAAAAUAGCAGAUUUAGUUGGUGUAAGUAGGUCAACAUUAUGGAGAAGAUUGUCAGAACAUGAUGGUAUACCUCAUCGCUUUUCUGAUGUCAGUGAUGAUGCUCUAGAUUCUAUUAUUAGUCAAUACCAAAACCGUAAUCCCCAUACUGGCCAAGCUAUUCUUAGAGGCUACUUGGAGAGUAUAGGUAUUCAUGUACAGCGUCAAAGGAUCAGGGAAUCUGUUUGGAGAACAGACCCACUCAGAAGAUUUUUGAGAUGGCAUGGACGGCUAUCCCGACGAGCUUACAAAGUUCCAGGUGCUAACAGUCUGUGGCACAUAGACGGUCACCAUAGCCUCAUUCGUUGGAGGUUUGUUAUUCAUGGCGGAAUCGAUGGAUAUUCACGCAUGAUUGUUUUUUUACGAUUUGCUACUAAUAAUCGAGCCAUGACAGUAUUUUCAGCUUUCUCUGAAGCUAUAGACAGUUUUGGAAUUCCUUCACGUUGCGAUCUGAUAGGGGGGGGGGUGAGAAUACUAUUAUUUGCCAAUUUAUGAUUGCUGUUAGAGGUUGUGAUCGAGGAUUGCUGGUCCAUCAACACACAAUCAGAGAAUAGAGCGAUUAUGGAGAGAUGUGUAUAGAUGUGUCUGUGCAACAUUUUAUGAGAUUUUCUACAAUCUUGAAAUGUGCAAUGAAUUAGAUCCUACUAAUGAAGUACACUUAUUUGCAUUGCAUUGCUUGUAUGUACCUCUAAUUAAUAUGUCAUUGCAGGAGUUCACAAGGGCAUGGAAUCAUCAGCCAAUUCGAACUGAACGUAACUGGUCUCCUCGAAAAAUUUGGACUAAUAGCAUAAUACAUGGUGAUCAUCAAGAGGUAGAUGUAGAUGACUGGAACAUGUAUGGAUAUGAUUAUGGUGGUCCUAUACUUCAUGAUGAUGACGGUCUUAACAUUGUUGAAGUACCUGAAACUUUGGAACACUUGAGUGCUGACUUUAGAGAAUUAUAUAUUGCUGAACUAGGUAAUAGAUCUGUUGCUACUUUCAGUGAUGCAUACCUCUUACUUCAGCAUUUGAUGACGAUACAUGGUUACUGAUAAGUCUCUCUUUCUCAUAUGCACACACUAAUUAUGCACUCUUUUCCUACCUUAUGAAUCAUGAUAGAAGUUUGUAAUUAAAAUUUUUACAGUUAUUAUUAUUUGCAGGAGACUGAUUAUGAAUUGAAUGUUUAUAAAUCAA